UUUUUUUUUUUUUUUUUUUUUUUUUUUUUUUUUNCACACCCACGGCAUAUGGAGGUUCCCAGUCUAGGGGUCCAAUCAGAGCUACAGCUGCUGGCCUACACCACAGCUACAGCAAUGCCAGAUCGGAGCCACAUCUGUGACCUAUGCCACAGCUCAUGGCAACACCAGAUUCUUAACUCCCUGAGCAAGGCCAGGGACCAAACCCACAAUCUUGGGGUUCCUAGUCAGAAUGUUUCCGCUGUGCCACAACGGGAACUCCCCAGGAAUUUGUUUUAAUGAAACACUCACAUAAGUUUGUUAAGAAAUAUGCAACCCCAUCAAUUUAGCCUUGUCCUGAAUUCGUUGUGUUUUUUUGUUUGUUUUUGAUUUUUCUUUUUAGGGCCACUCCCACGGCAUAUGGAAGUUCCCAGGCUAGGGAUCGAAUCAGAGCUGCAGCUGCUGGUCUAUACCACAGCCACAGCAAUGCCAGAUCCAAGGGCAUCUGUAACCUACAUCAUAGUUUGUAGCAACGCUGGAUCCUCAGCCCAUUGAGAGAGGGCAGGGAUUGAACACGUAUCAUCGUGGAUACUGGUUGGGUUCUUAAUCUGCUGGGCCACAAUUCGAACUCCAAUUUAGCCUUGUCUUGGAGUGAAAAGUUGGAGGGUACCAAGGACUCACAGUAUGGGGACUAGUGGAGAAAAGUGAGACAGAGCCAGAUAGUCAUGUACACUGUAGUGCCUCUGGUAAAUUAAUGACAUGGUUCUGCAUUUCCUCAUGUGGAAGGAGGUCUGACAGCUCAUUCAUCCUACACACUUUCUUGGGCACCUGCUAUGUUCCAGUAUCUGUUCUAGGCAAAGGAUGCAGCAGUGAAGAAAGGAGACAAUGUCCUUGCCCCCAUGAAGCUUCCAUUCUAAUGGGAAAGAUUUUCACAAACAAAUAAAUACAUAUUAUCACAUAAUAACAUAUCCAUUAGGUUAAAAAAAAAAAAGCAAGGAGCAUGGGGAAGUCACUUCGGAAAACAGUUUGGCAGUUUCUUAUAAGGUUAAAUAGAUAUUUACCAAUAUACCUUUGGUCCGGCCAUCCCACUCCUGGGUAUUUACCCAAGAGAAAUGCAAAUUUAUAGUCACCCUAGAACCUGUGUGUGUCCUGUAAUUUCAUUUUAUGUGACAUUCUGGUAAAGGCAGAAUAUAGGGACAGAGAAUAGAUUAAUCAUUUCUGGGAACUAGGGUUGAAGGAAGGGGUUGAUUACAACAGGGCACAAGGGAAUUUGGGAGGGUAUUGAAACUGUCCUAAGUCUUUGUUGUGGUGAUGCCUACACAGCUGUAGAUGUUUGGUCAAGACUCCUAAUUCUACAUUAAAAACAGUGAAUUUUACUAUAAGUAGAUUAUAUACCUCAGUAAACCCUAUUAAGGAAAAAAAGCAAAGUACAAGUUCUGUAUACAGUAUAAUCCCAUUUUUGUAAGUAAUAAGAAUAAUAAAAGAUGUUAGAUUGUGCUUAGGGAAAAAAAAAUUAGUUGAAUAUCCAGUACGUUGAAUUGUUAACAGUAAGUUAUCUGGGUUGGGGAAAGGGGUGUUUCAUUUUCUAAAUUACACAUUUCUUUGAUGUUUGAAUAUUUUAUGGGGCAUGUGUUACUUUCAAAAUUACAGGGGACAACGGAUUGUAAUACAAAAGUUAACCUUCAGUGCUGGUCAGGCUACUGUGGCCAGGUGCAGAACUCAUUUGAGAUGCUCAGGCUACAUCACUGAUCCUAAUUCUGGCUCUGGAGGGCAAUUGUCCACUCAGGCUGUUGGUGACAACAGGCAAGGAAGGGCUGCUCCCCCCUCUAUGCUGCUACUGGGGGGAGUGGGCCCUUCAGUAGUUCUCACGGGACUGGUUUUUGUGGACAGAGGUGGAGUGAGGCUUAGGGCUGACAAGGCUUUUGUCUUCCUGCCAUAGAGAGAAGCUGUCUGUGGCCCAAGGUGGUUUAACACCUCUGAUAAUAAACCCAACAUUGAUUGACACUUGCUCUGUGCCAGACACUGGCCAAGGACUUACUGCUUAGUAUUAUUUUGUAAUUCCUUCAUUUAACGAACAUUUGUGGGAUACUUUUUUUUUUUUUUACAUUUUGCUUUUGUUUUUGGCCACACCUGCGGCAUGUGGAAGUUCCUGGGUCAGGUAUCAUACCCCUUGGCACAAUAGCGACCUCAGCCCCUGCAGUGAUAACACCGGAUCCUUAACCUGCUGACCCACAUGGGAAGCCACAAACACUUGUUAAACACCAACAAUAUUCUAGGCACUGGGGAUAUGAUAGCGAUCAAAGAGGAGGAAGAAAAAAGCCCUUAUGUUCCAUCCCCCUUAUAUUCUAAUAGGGAAAGGGGGAGACAAGCACAAAUAUGUGAGAACAGAUACAUAUCAGAGGAUUUUAUUUUUUUAUUUUUAUUUGUCUUUUUGCCAUUUCUUGGGCCACUCCCGCUGCAUAUGGAGGUUCCUAGGCUAGGGGUCAAAUCAGGGCUGUAGCUGCUGGCCUAUGCCAGAACCACGGCAAUGCAGGAUCCAAGCCGCAUCUGCGACUUACACCACAGCUCCCGGCAACACCGGAUCCUUAAUCCACUGAGCAAGGCCAGGGAUUGAACCCGCAAACUCAUGGUUCCUAGUCGGAUUCGUUAACCACUGAGCCAUGACGGGAACUCCUGUCAGAGGAUUUUUAGAUGCUAAGAGAAAACUGAACAGAGUGAGGGUGCAAGAGGGAGGGAUUGGGGCAUACUGCUUUAGGUGCAGUGGUCCAAAAGGGUCUUUCCAAUUUGGGGGCCAUCUGACCCAAGGGGAGGAGGGGCCUGCCAGGGCCAGGGCUCUGAGGCUGAGUGUGUGAGCAGAGCCAGAGGGAGGUCAUGGUCCUGCAGCAGAGUGUGCGGGGGGGACACCUGCAAAGGAGCAAGAGGCCACAUGACCCAGGGCCCCCACAGGUGGCAACAAAGUGUUUGGCUUUAACUUUGAAGGAGAUGGGAAUCAUGGAAGGGUUUAGAGCAGAGGAGUGACAUAGGUUUGAUUAGGAUCCCUCUGACUGCUCUGCAGGAAAGAGGACACAGUGGGAGUGGGGCAGGAGUGAGAUCAUCAGAGAGACAAGUGGCUUAGGCUUGGGGUGGCACAUUCUGGAUAUUUUCAUUUCACCCUUCACUUUUCCCAUCUGCAAAAUGGAACAAUAAUAGUAUCUCCCUCACGGGAAAAUUAAACAAUUCCAUGGUGUAAACUAUCUGGCCCUGUGCCUGGUGCAUGGGAAAUGCUCAAUAAAUAUGUCUGUGCUUAUUAUUAUAGUUAUUAUUAUUAUUAUUGUUAUUGCUACUACUAUUGUUGUUGUUGUUGUUACCAACCUCCUUAUGAUGCCAGGAUAAUUAUGCACGCAUGAUGGAUGAGAAGAGUGAGGCUCAUAGGGUUGAGGCUGCUUCUUCAAGAGCAGGUGGCUGGUAAGUAGUGGAACUAUACUGUUCCAGGACCCUGCAGAACAUUUAUGGGGAGGCACACUUGGCCCGUGUGGAGACGGGAAGCCCAGAAUAAAGGGCAGAGGGUGUCUAAGCAAGUGGGAACCCUCUAACCUCAUCUUAUUUCAGAAGGCAGCAGUGGUCAAGCUUCAGAUCCUCCCUGGCACUUCCAAGCUGUGUGACCUUAGGCAAGUCAGCUCACCUCUCUGAGCCUCAGCUGUCUCAUUUGUAAGAUGAGGACUGUGAUAGGACCUACCCCAUGAGAUAGUUGUGACAAUUAGACACCUGGCAGAAAAUGAGCUGCCUAAACACAUUCAGAAAGCAGCCCCUCCUGAUGCUACAGUAAAGAGGGGGUAAUUGAGUAUAUAUGGUUGAUGGAAUGUCUUGUUGGUAGCACCCACCACACAGCUCUGUUAGGGAGGAGAAAGCCGUACUUCUGUUGGGAUCUUGAGAUGUGGCUGAUUAGAUUAUAUUGAACAGGCUCAUUAGGGUGCACUUGCUAUGGGAACAGUGACCUCUUCAUCAAACCACAAACACAGAACAUUGCAAAGGUGUUUUUUGAGUUUGAGUUAUUGUAUGAUUAACAUGAAGUAAAGUCUGCUUGUUGGAAAGUCACUUUAAGGGUCUAUUCUUUUUUUUUUUUUUAAUGUGAGGGAAUAUUUGCCUAGGUAUUUUUGGUGGAAUGUAAAGAAGGGGCUUCUCUGUUCAGUAAGCGUUGUGAAAUGCUGGUAGAAAAUCCCCAUAACACAACUUGCUAACAUUUACAGAAGCUGUUGUGAUUAAGUGGGAACCAAGCUACAGAAAAAUCUACAACAAGAAGUCAGCAAAGUAAGAUCAAGAGACUAUAAAGUAAACAAUAUAUAGAGAAUGAAAAGUAAUUUAUUUCCUUGGGGAAGCGAUCUGUACCGACAGCAGCAACAGAGUGACUCUGUAGAUGUACUCCAUUUCCAUCCGCGGGAGAUGAUUGCAGUCAGCACAUUUGAAAAUUGAGAAAUUGUGUACGCAAUUUGAAAAACCAACUGAUUAUAACUCACCAGUGUGCUAAGAGGUCAGUGGCCCAUUUCAAAAAGGAAAAACUGAGACUCAAGUGGGAGAGAAGAGUUGCUUGCCUCAUCCUUGCUGAGACACCAUAACCCAGAUGACCAGGAGAGCCCAGUGAGCCUGUCACUGGGCCAUGUGAAGACAAGGUGAUGACUCAUCUCUCACAUGUGGCUUUUUUUUGGCCUCCGAGUUGUUGCCUGAGUAAGGACUGUGCUCUUUCCCAGGGUUGCUUUCAAAUAAAACGACCUGUUGCAGAAAGCAAGAGCUGCCUACCCCCACCCCCACCCCCCCAGGCAGGAACCCAGCCAGCAGGGAGCUGACACACCUGUGCUAGGGAGCAGGCAAAGUGUCCUCCAGGCUGGGAACUUAAAGUGCCUGACAGUUUGGAAGGAACUGGUAUGGGUAUGGUCCCUGCAGCAUGGGGUCCUUUGUCUAACAUGCUAGGACCGGGAUGUCACUUCUCCAAGAGUAGUAUCACACAGCUGGUGUGGCUCAAUCAGUUGCCUUCUCUCCCAUCUAGCCCCUGAUUUAGGCCACUGGUGAAAAGACAUUUGUCUUCCUUACAAACCUCUGGACGCUUGGGUCUGGCCCGGAGCACAGAAAGCAGAAAGGGUGAGAUGUGCUGGCAGAAUUGCCAGAAGAGUUGGCAUCUCCCCUCCCAGAGCACAGCCUGGCUCAGGGCCACCCGAGAAGGCCGUUUCUUUUAUGAGCAUUGAAUUCACACUUGCACAGCCCUGGAGAGGAAAAGUUACAGAAUCCACCGUGUGAACACCCUCUUCCCUUAAAGAUAAUUUUGAGUUGGCUGUUAUGAGUGAGGCCGUUCAGAUUCUAAGAGCGUGUGUGUGUGUGUGUGUGUGUGUGUGUAUGUGUGUCCAUCCAGAGGAAACAGAAUUUAGUUGCAUGUGAUAUAUUUCACCACCUGCUGUGACCAUAGCCUGCAGCAUAUAAACUUAGUAGAGGCUGAAAAUUUAUGACUAUAGUCACUUGUCUUUGGUCAAGUGUCAGUGU
Molecule: long non-coding RNA, 5484 nt
Filed under: Sus scrofa (pig)
Lineage: Eukaryota; Metazoa; Chordata; Mammalia; Artiodactyla; Suidae
Description: lncRNA (ENSSSCG00035055697.1)
Source: RNAcentral